UCGGGUAUGGUGUAAUGGCUCGACAUUGCCGCUUCUCAUUCGUUUCGAGAUUUUGAAUCUUUCCGCGGCAGCUCGGGGUUCGAUUCCCAGUACCCGAA
Termitomyces sp. 'cryptogamus' is the source of this 98-nucleotide non-coding RNA. NCBI's taxonomy places the organism in Eukaryota, Fungi, Basidiomycota, Agaricomycetes, Agaricales, Lyophyllaceae. The record is from the annotation of a GenBank genome assembly.